UGAACUACCCAAAAUACUUGAAGUGUUCAUACAACAAGAAUAAAUGCAUUGAAAGCUAAUUUGUAUAUGGAAUGUAAUCUGCGAUGAUACCACUGAUU
Long non-coding RNA from Xenia sp. Carnegie-2017, 98 nucleotides. RefSeq lists it as uncharacterized. The transcript has 4 exons. The record is from RefSeq and is a predicted model, not a curated record. NCBI's taxonomy places the organism in Eukaryota, Metazoa, Cnidaria, Anthozoa, Malacalcyonacea, Xeniidae.